UCUUCUCUCCUGAGCCAGAAUGAGCGGGGAAGAUCCAUCUCUGCUCUCUGUGCCAGUCAGUCCAUGCCUUUGUCAGGUGCUUGGACCUGUGCCAGCCACUGGGCAGUGCCCUCCCUAGCCAGGCCCUCUUUCUUUCUGUUCCAGACUUGCCAAGUUCUAGACCCUCAACGCAGCCUAAAGUCUCCUUCCCUGGUUAUGUUGUGGCCAUGAUUUCCCUGGGCCUCCUGCUCUUGCUGAUUGUCCCUCUGGUUCUCGUCCUGGCCUUUAAGACAAACCUCUGCAGCCGAAUAGCUGGCCUGUGUGUCCGGAAGCCUCGCUAUGGGCGCCAAGUGACUGCGUCCGAGUACACGAUGCACUCCUAUGACCUCAAACACUGAAGCACUUCCAGGAGAAGAGACCACACAGCCUGAGAGACCCCACGUUCUGACCCUCCAGGCCCCCUCUGGGUCACAGUUACUGCCCCAACCCAGAAAAUGAAUUGGGCUGGAAAGUUAAAGACUGAAGUGUGAGAAAGGUUUUGUUUUCCCCCUUCUCCAGUCCUAUCCCUUAAAAUCAAACCUGAACUUAAAGGAGAGGGAAUUGGAGAUGGGAUGUAUGGCCAAGGGUAUUCUGGGUCACUAAUGCCCCUGUCCAGUCAGCAUCCAGGACUUUGGACUGAACCCUCCCUAUCCAACCCUUCCUCCGCUUGUGCUGUAGAGCUCGUUUCAUAAACCAAGGUGAGAGAUCCCAAAGUUUAAGUAUUACCUUUCCCAGGUGAUUGGGAAAUGGUUGUUUUUCACAAGUCACCUGAUAUUGUAAUCCAGAGAAAAGACCCCAAGGAGGGGAUAAGGUCUCAUGGAAAUUUUUUUUGGGGGUAGGAAGGGUGGAGAAAAUCUCCUUUAUGUCAUUCCAAGUGACUGAGCAGCAUGAAGUUACUUCUAUCCUGUCUAAGUUCACAGGGCUUCUCCCUGGGAUUGGGGCUCCCCCAUCUCUUCCCCAGGCCCAUUUCAGUUUUGCCCUGCUCUGCUCCCUACCAUCCAUCAGCCCUUUUAGAGCCUUCUGUCUUUAAUGACCUCCAAUCAUCCCUGGAUUUCUAUCAGCCUUCACCGACCCCAGAAAGACCAGAGGGAAAGGAACACUGGGAUAAAGUUAUCAGCAGGUGCCCAGGGUUUGAAACUACUUUCCCCAAAGGUGCAGCUUAAGAAGGAGUGGGGGAUGAACCCUCUGAGCACGGGAAACAGAGCCCUGGCCAGAGCAGAGGAUUUUGUCUGGGGGAUGACCGAGGGUGAAAAGGGAGGUGGACGUUACCUUGUGAAAGGUCUCAAAGGCCAGACUUGGGCCUUUUGACUCGCUCCUAGGCCCAAUCCCACAACAUCCAUAUUCCUGUUGCUCUAUGUUUGGGAGACAGGCUGAUACACUAAGGGGGAAAGCCUACCCAAGUUGCCCCCCCCCCCAGGCCAGACCCCUCUACCCCUUCUCAGAGCCUCCCUGUCCCGCUUUAUCCUCAGAUAAAGUUAUUCCCUGUCCAUAAGACUGCCCCCAACUUCCUUUUGAGGGAAAUCUUACAUAAAGGCCAGCCCUACCUUCUAGGAUAAGU
Long non-coding RNA from Antechinus flavipes (yellow-footed antechinus), 1576 nucleotides. RefSeq lists it as uncharacterized. The record is from RefSeq and is a predicted model, not a curated record. The transcript has 3 exons. Lineage: Eukaryota; Metazoa; Chordata; Mammalia; Dasyuromorphia; Dasyuridae.